ACGAAGUCUUCGGACUGAGUGGCGGACGGGUGAGUAACGCGUGAGAAUCUGCCUAGAGGUCGGGGACAACCAUUGGAAACGAUGGCUAAUACCGGAUAUGCCUUACGGGGUGAAAGAUUAAUUGCCUUUAGAAGAGCUCGCGUCUGAUUAGCUAAUUGGUGAGGUAAGAGCUCACCAAGGCAGCGAUCAGUAGCUGGUCUGAGAGGAUGACCAGCCACACUGGAACUGAGACACGGCCCAGACUCCUACGGGAGGCAGCAGUGGGGAAUUUUCCGCAAUGGGCGAAAGCCUGACGGAGCAAGACCGCGUGAGGGAGGAAGGCUCUUGGGUUGUAAACCUCUUUUGUCAGGGAAGAACAAAAUGACGGUACCUGACGAAUCAGCAUCGGCUAACUCCGUGCCAGCAGCCGCGGUAAUACGGAGGAUGCAAGCGUUAUCCGGAAUUAUUGGGCGUAAAGCGUCCGCAGGUGGCUGAUCAAGUCUGCGGUCAAAGACCGGGGCUUAACCCUGGAAAGGCCGUGGAAACUGAUAGAGCUAGAGUACCGUAGGGGUAGAGGGAAUUCCCGGUGUAGCGGUGAAAUGCGUAGAGAUCGGGAAGAACAUCGGUGGCGAAAGCGCUCUACUGGACGGUGACUGACACUCAG
This 643-nucleotide ribosomal RNA is filed under the name uncultured cyanobacterium. RNAcentral describes it as "bacterial SSU rRNA". It matches the Rfam family "Bacterial small subunit ribosomal RNA", at positions 66 to 750 of the family's 1533-position model. Lineage: Bacteria; Bacillati; Cyanobacteriota. The record is from RNAcentral.